This 763-nucleotide ribosomal RNA is filed under the name uncultured archaeon. RNAcentral's name for it is "bacterial SSU rRNA". It matches the Rfam family "Archaeal small subunit ribosomal RNA", at positions 28 to 796 of the family's 1478-position model. The record is from RNAcentral.
UGCUAUCGGGGUCCGAUUAAGCCAUGCGAGUCGAGAGGGGUAAAGCCCUCGGCGAACGGCCCAGUAACACGUGGAUAACCUACCCUCAGAUCUGGGAUAACUCCGGGAAACUGGAGAUAAUACCGGAUAAUCCGUGAACGCUGGAAUGCCUUACGGUUGAAAGCUUUGGCGUCUGAGGAUGGGUCUGCGGCCGAUUAGGUAGUUGCUGGGGUAACGUCCCAACAAGCCGAUAAUCGGUACGGGUUGUGAGAGCAAGAGCCCGGAGAUGGAUUCUGAGACACGAAUCCAGGUCCUACGGGGCGCAGCAGGCGCGAAAACUUUACACUGCGCGAAAGCGCGAUAAGGGGACCUCGAGUGCGUGCGCAAUGCGUACGCUUUUCAGAUGCCUAAAAAGCAUCUGGAAUAAGGGCCGGGCAAGACCGGUGCCAGCCGCCGCGGUAACACCGGCGGCUCAAGUGGUGGCCGCUAUUAUCGGGCUUAAAGGGUCCGUAGCCGGACCAGUUAGUCCCUUGGGAAAUCUUACGGCUUAACCGUAAGGCUGCCAAUGGAUACUGCUGGUCUUGGGACCGGGAGAGGCAAGAGGUACCUCAGGGGUAGGAGUGAAAUCCUGUAAUCCUUGAGGGACCACCAGUGGCGAAAGCGUCUUGCUAGAACGGGUCCGACGGUGAGGGACGAAAGCUAGGGGCACGAACCGGAUUAGAUACCCGGGUAGUCCUAGCCGUAAACGAUGCGAGCUAGUGUCACGUGGAUUGCGAAUCCAUGU